AUGAACGCUGGCGGCGUGCCUAAUACAUGCAAGUCGAGCGAACGGACGAGAAGCUUGCUUCUCUGAUGUUAGCGGCGGACGGGUGAGUAACACGUGGCUAACCUACCUAUAAGACUGGGAUAACUUCGGGAAACCGGCGCUAAUACCGGAUAAUAUUUUGCACCGCAUGGUUCAAAAGUAAAAGACGGUCUUGCUGUCACUUAUAGAUGGAUCCGCGCUGCAUUAGCUAGUUGGUAAGGUAACGGCUUACCAAGGCAACGAUGCAUAGCCGACCUGAGAGGGUGAUCGGCCACACUGGAACUGAGACACGGUCCAGACUCCUACGGGAGGCAGCAGUAGGGAAUCUUCCGCAAUGGGCGAAAGCCUGACGGAGCAACGCCGCGUGAGUGAUGAAGGUCUUCGGAUCGUAAAACUCUGUUAUUAGGGAAGAACAUAUGUGUAAGUAACUGUGCACAUCUUGACGGUACCUAAUCAGAAAGCCACGGCUAACUACGUG
RNAcentral lists this ribosomal RNA (496 nucleotides) under uncultured bacterium. RNAcentral describes it as "partial 16S ribosomal RNA". It matches the Rfam family "Bacterial small subunit ribosomal RNA", at positions 29 to 507 of the family's 1533-position model. The record is from RNAcentral.